UGAACGCUGGCGGCGUGCCUAAUACAUGCAAGUCGAGCGAACAGACGAGGAGCUUGCUCCUCUGACGUUAGCGGCGGACGGGUGAGUAACACGUGGAUAACCUACCUAUAAGACUGGGAUAACUUCGGGAAACCGGAGCUAAUACCGGAUAAUAUUUUGAACCGCAUGGUUCAAUAGUGAAAGACGGUUUUGCUGUCACUUAUAGAUGGAUCCGCGCCGCAUUAGCUAGUUGGUAAGGUAACGGCUUACCAAGGCAACGAUGCGUAGCCGACCUGAGAGGGUGAUCGGCCACACUGGAACUGAGACACGGUCCAGACUCCUACGGGAGGCAGCAGUAGGGAAUCUUCCGCAAUGGGCGAAAGCCUGACGGAGCAACGCCGCGUGAGUGAUGAAGGUCUUCGGAUCGUAAAACUCUGUUAUUAGGGAAGAACAAAUGUGUAAGUAACUAUGCACGUCUUGACGGUACCUAAUCAGAAAGCCACGGCUAACUACGUG
This 495-nucleotide ribosomal RNA is filed under the name uncultured bacterium. Its description in RNAcentral is "partial 16S ribosomal RNA". It matches the Rfam family "Bacterial small subunit ribosomal RNA", at positions 30 to 507 of the family's 1533-position model. The record is from RNAcentral.